CCCAGCCCACAUUCAGAAUAUUAUAUUCUAAGAAAUGCAUUCUAACAAUGACGCUGAUAAAGUAGAACGUAAUAGAAUGUAACCAAUAGAGGGUGAUGAGGAUGGGUGGGCCUCAGGAUGUCAUGUGCUAUAAAGAACAUCAAGAGGAGGCUGGAGAGUUAGGAAACAUUUGUUUGGAGUCCCUGGUACUCAGAUACAAGGAGGGGGCCAUUUACAAACCAGGAAGAGGGUCCUCACCAGAUCACUGCCCAGCACCUUGAUCUUGGGCUUCCCAGCCUCCAGAACUCUGAGAAAUCAAUAUUUGUUGUCUAAGCCACCUGGCUAUGGUAAUUUGUUACAGCAGCCUGAGCUGAGCAAGGCAAUCAUCUUACCUAGAUGACUUGAGAGAUCCCUUCCAUUCCAUCUGAAGUUGUAUCAACAAGCUAAAAUGAGUGAUCUGUACAGUAGCAUUAGUCCAACUCUGUCACAUCGCUGCAACAGCCAGCAGAAAGAUUGAGUGGGUUUUGCUGCAACCUGUCACAAACAGUAUCAGUACUGUAGCCAUCACUCUGACUAACAAACCUUCGGGUGUACUUUGUGGGAGAGAAUCCAGGCUGGGAUUGCUCUGACAACAUAGCACGGGAUUAUUUUAACAGUAUUGAAUUACUCACAUCUCCUUGGACCUGGGUUUGAAGUUUCGGCAGCAGUUUCCUCUUGAAGGCUCUUUCAGGGUUCCCUUCUUUUCAUUCCUGACUCAAGCCUUCCGGCCGUAAAGGCAAAUUUUUAACUGACUCAGCUCAGGUGAGUGAGAGGGAAAGCGAAACAGGAAACAAUUAUAUAAGACUACAUUUGCAUACAAGCCAGUGUCUUUCCAGAACAUUAAUUUCUCCUAAAACUGCUGUCUAACUUUCAAGUUCAUCUGGUAUUUUAACACAAUGUUUUACUUCAGCAUGGUCCGUUCUUAUUAUUUGACUAAAGAAUUUCUGAGUCCUCUGCUUUGUUUGUGCUAUUUUCCAUAAAAGGAAAUGGGGUGAGAAAUGCUGAAAUAGUUCCACCCAGAUGGUUAAAGCAAUGUAGAGUUGGACAGAAUUAAAGUCACCUUAAAAUAACUUGCUUGCACAAAUAUCCACAAGUGGGAUAGCUGGAUCACAUGGUAGUUCUAUUCUUAAUUUUUUGAGGACUCUCUAUACUGUUUUCCACAGUGGCUGCACCAUUUUACUUUCCUACCAACAGCGCACAAGGGUUUCACUUUCCCUUUUGUAUGGCUCCUUGGAGCUGCUUUCUAUUUGUUAGAUGGGAUGCUGCCCCAUUCAUGAGUUGUGGGAUAAAGCCAAUUAGAUCUUCAAAUUCACUCAGUCGAAUUUUGUUUCUAACAA
Molecule: long non-coding RNA, 1355 nt
Filed under: Equus caballus (horse)
Lineage: Eukaryota; Metazoa; Chordata; Mammalia; Perissodactyla; Equidae
Description: lncRNA (ENSECAG00000044451.1)
Source: RNAcentral